CGGAGGCAGCAGUGGGGAAUUUUGGACAAUGGGCGAAAGCCUGAUCCAGCCAUUCCGCGUGAGUGAAGAAGGCCUUCGGGUUGUAAAGCUCUUUCGCAAGGGAAGAAAACUUAGAUACUAAUAUUAUCUGAGGUUGACGGUACCUUGAUAAGAAGCACCGGCUAACUACGUGCCAGCAGCCGCGGUAAUACGUAGGGUGCGAGCGUUAAUCGGAAUUACUGGGCGUAAAGCGUGCGCAGGCGGUUUUGUAAGUCAGAUGUGAAAUCCCCGAGCUCAACUUGGGAACUGCGUUUGAAACUACAAGACUAGAAUAUGUCAGAGGGGGGUAGAAUUCCACGUGUAGCAGUGAAAUGCGUAGAGAUGUGGAGGAAUACCAAUGGCGAAGGCAGCCCCCUGGGAUAAUAUUGACGCUCAUGCACGAAAGCGUGGGGAGCAAACAGGAUUAGAUACCCUGGU
RNAcentral lists this ribosomal RNA (456 nucleotides) under uncultured bacterium. RNAcentral's name for it is "bacterial SSU rRNA". It matches the Rfam family "Bacterial small subunit ribosomal RNA", at positions 343 to 791 of the family's 1533-position model. The record is from RNAcentral.